Molecule: ribosomal RNA, 274 nt
Filed under: uncultured bacterium
Lineage: Bacteria
Description: partial 16S ribosomal RNA
Rfam family: Bacterial small subunit ribosomal RNA
Source: RNAcentral
AUACGGAGGGGGCUAGCGUUGUUUGGAAUUACUGGGCGUAAAGCGUACGUAGGCGGACUGAUCAGUUGGGGGUGAAAUCCCAGGGCUUAACCCUGGAACUGCCUUCAAUACUGUCAGUCUUGAGAUUGGAAGGGGUGAGUGGAAUUCCUAGUGUAGAGGUGAAAUUCAUAGAUAUUAGGAGGAACACCAGUGGCGAAGGCGGCUCACUGGUCCAAUACUGACGCUGAGGUACGAAAGCGUGGGGAGCAAACAGGAUUAGAAACCCUAGUAGUCC